RNAcentral lists this long non-coding RNA (1558 nucleotides) under Homo sapiens (human). Its description in RNAcentral is "non-protein coding lnc-HYI-6:1". The record is from RNAcentral. Lineage: Eukaryota; Metazoa; Chordata; Mammalia; Primates; Hominidae.
AAAAAAAAAAAAAAAAAAAAAAAAAGAAAGAAAGAAAGAAAGAAAAAGAAAAAGAAACAGACAUAAAUCUUCCAUGGAGGAACACACUUUCAUCCAGGGCUCAAUUCUCACAGAUAAAUUUCCAAAGAAUGUGAGUUCAAACACAUUAAAAAAAAAAAAAGUCCUCAAACAUAAGAGAUAAUAAGCCACUAUGUGUGAAUCAACAGAAACAAUACACAACAGAAGCAGACGUAUACCUACGAUAGCUACCAGAAUUAUUAGAUGAUUUGGCAAUGGAACAACAAUCUGGGGACGGGUGGGGUCAGACAGGGGUGGGAGGAAAAUGAGGAAACUUUUGUAGGUGAUGGGUAUGUUCAUUAUCUUGAUUUUGGUGAUGAUGAUGUGAGAACUCGCAUGCUCCCAUCACUGAUAAUGUGGGUAAUGAUGAUGUCACCACAUGCCAUGGAUUACUCACUUCCUCAUUCUUCCCCAGUGAUAUAUAUCCAUUUGUCUAUAUCCCCUCAUAUAUUUGUCAUAUAUCAUACAUAUAGUGUAUGUUUAAAUGAUAAAAGUAAUUAGUCCUGAAGAAGGCAAGGACAGAGAAAUAAAGGAACAAAAACCAGAUGAGACAAAUAGAAAACAAAGAGCAAGACGAUAGAUUUAAAUGUGAAGAAAAAUAAACAGUAACAGUAUCGGAAAAAGUUUAGGGGAACAUUCACCAGGCCAAAUCCACUCUCCACGCUUCCUCCCCCUUCGCUUUCCUAGGAGAGCCCCCUCAUGGUCUAUGCCAGUGGAGUCCUUGCCUUCUGGCUUUGUGUUGGGUUCAGCCAAUGCAGAUACCCAGCCACAGAGCUCCCUUACACGUCCUGAGCUGGCUGUGUCCUUUGACCACAAGUCACUACUGCUCUCCACAUGGCUCACUCUGCAGGAAUUUCCUUCUGGAUUCCAGAAACCAUUCCCUGUCUUCAUCCCUUCAGGCCUAGGGAUGUCAGUAAUUCUGCUGUUAUUAGUUCUGGAUGAUUACAUUAUCCUUUGUGAGUCCCUGAUACCCUGUCCAAACCUUCAUAAAUGGCCCCUUCAUAAAAGCCUCCUUGAAUUAUACUAAUUUCAGUGUGCCAUCUGUUUCCUAUUUGAACUCAGACUGACAUAGCCAUUGUGAAAUCAGAAAAUAGUUCCUCAAAAUGGGAUUCUGGAAUUCCGUUGCUCAUGUAUUUGAGGAACACAGCGAUAACCUUGCUGGGGAAGAAUGAGGAAGUGAGUAAUCCAUGGCAUGUGGUGACAUCAUCAUUACCCACAUUAUCAAUGGUGGGAGCAUGGGAGGGAAUGCAGGUGAUGGGCAAGGCAUUAAGAGAUCAAGUAGCGCCGGCACUUAAUUGCUAUGGCAACAACAGUGAUUAAAAAAUAGUAGAAACAACUGGAUUCUUUUUACUAUCCUAAGAAAUUUAUAUAGGGAAAAAGAGAAAAUCAAGGCUAUGGAAAUACAAUUAAAAAGACGCAUGGAAAACCAGAAUGCCUCCAUGGUGGCCCUGAGGGGUUCCUUAUUUCCGGUAAUUGAAGGGUAAAUAUGGCUAAGAACUAA